This 301-nucleotide ribosomal RNA is filed under the name uncultured bacterium. RNAcentral describes it as "partial 16S ribosomal RNA". It matches the Rfam family "Bacterial small subunit ribosomal RNA", at positions 509 to 807 of the family's 1533-position model. The record is from RNAcentral.
CAGUCGCCGCGGUAAUACGAAGGGGGCUAGCGUUGUUCGGAAUUACUGGGCGUAAAGCGUGCGUAGGCGGUUUGUUAAGUCUGCUGUGAAAUCCCGGGGCUCAACCUGGGAAUGGCAGUGGAUACUGGCAAGCUAGAGUGUGUCAGAGGAUGGUGGAAUUCCCGGUGUAGCGGUGAAAUGCGUAGAGAUCGGGAGGAACAUCAGUGGCGAAGGCGGCCAUCUGGGACAACACUGACGCUGAGGCACGAAAGCGUGGGGAGCAAACAGGAUUAGAUACCCCGGUAGUCCCUGUCUCUUAUAC